RNAcentral lists this unclassified non-coding RNA (336 nucleotides) under soil metagenome. Its description in RNAcentral is "partial contains 5.8S ribosomal RNA, internal transcribed spacer 2, and large subunit ribosomal RNA". The stretch from base 1 to 120 matches the Rfam family "5.8S ribosomal RNA", at positions 35 to 154 of the family's 154-position model. The record is from RNAcentral.
GAUGAAGAACGCAGCGAAAUGCGAUAAGUAAUGUGAAUUGCAGAAUUCAGUGAAUCAUCGAAUCUUUGAACGCACAUUGCGCCCGCCAGUAUUCUGGCGGGCAUGCCUGUUCGAGCGUCAUUUCAACCAUCAAGCCCCCGGCUUGUGUUGGGGACCUGCGGCUGCCGCAGGCCCUGAAAAGCAGUGGCGGGCUCGCUGUCACACCGAGCGUAGUAGCAUACAUCUCGCUCUAGGCGUGCUGCGGGUUCCGGCCGUUAAACCACCUUCAUAACCCAAGGUUGACCUCGGAUCAGGUAGGAAGACCCGCUGAACUUAAGCAUAUCAAUAAGCGGAGGA